AACGAACGCUGGCGGCAUGCCUAACACAUGCAAGUCGAACGAGACCUGCGGGUCUAGUGGCGCACGGGUGCGUAACGCGGGGGAACCUGCCCUUAGGUUCGGAAUAACUCCCCGAAAGGGGUGCUAAUACCGGAUAAUGUCUUCGGACCAAAGAUUUAUCGCCCUUGGAUGGGCCCGCGUUGGAUUAGCUAGUUGGUAGGGUAAAAGCCUACCAAGGCGUCGAUCGAUAGCUGGUCUGAGAGGAUGAUCAGCCACACUGGGACUGAGACACGGCCCAGACUACUACGGGAGGCGGCAGUGGGGAAUAUUGGACAAUGGGCGAAAGCAUGAACGAGCAAUGCCGCGUGAGUGAUGAAGGCCUUAGGGUAGUAAAGCUCUUUUACCCGGGGUGAUAAUGACGGUACCGAGAGAAUAAGCUCCGGCUAACUCCGUG
Molecule: ribosomal RNA, 433 nt
Filed under: uncultured bacterium
Lineage: Bacteria
Description: partial 16S ribosomal RNA
Rfam family: Bacterial small subunit ribosomal RNA
Source: RNAcentral